GUCAAAAGAUGAAGCACAGAUAGAGCAUCUGGAGUUUUCAGUUUGACUUCUGACCCAGACCUCACUGAGGACAAUGGGAGUCCCUCUGCAUUUGAUAAGCUGCAGUAGAGGCUCUGCCCUCAAGGACAGCAAAAGGCUCAUCAAAGCCAUGGAGAUGUUUAUUCCUGGUGAGAAGAGGUCAGUGCUCCUCUUGGAGCUGAAUCACGUGAAGUGGAAUCCGAAAGAGGACAGAGGGCAUGAGAGAGAAUAGAGCUCUUCUGAUGAUACACUGCACUUUGUGGGAAUCCAGCCUGAAGGGACAGCUUUACAAGCCUUCACAGGCUUCAGGCAUCUAUUUUUAUCAAACUGAACAAUUGUUGCUCAGAAAAAGAGACCCUUACUUUCCAGGUUGCAUGUGGCUGCCCUCGGUUAGUCUGAACUCCCUUGACCUCAGUGCAGCUUAAGUGAUGUGAC
Oxyura jamaicensis (ruddy duck) is the source of this 453-nucleotide long non-coding RNA. RefSeq lists it as uncharacterized. Lineage: Eukaryota; Metazoa; Chordata; Aves; Anseriformes; Anatidae. The transcript has 3 exons. The record is from RefSeq and is a predicted model, not a curated record.